Long non-coding RNA from Oncorhynchus tshawytscha (Chinook salmon), 1457 nucleotides. The record is from Ensembl. Lineage: Eukaryota; Metazoa; Chordata; Actinopteri; Salmoniformes; Salmonidae.
UGAUAAUGUACGUUAGUUUAAUGUUAGUUUAAACCUUGACUUUUAAUUGCGAUGCUCUAGAAAUAUUCCAUCUGUGAUUCUAUCUAUGAUGACAUAUUUAGUUUGCUUCAGAUUUACGCCAUAUUAUCCACUAGAUAGCUGCUGUUUCCGGGGGUAGCCCAUCGAAUGGAAACUUAGAAACGUAUCAUCCAGACUAGCAAAGGACCAGCAAGAGAUGUGUCAUGUGUCCAACGUCCGUCCUCAUCCUUUUCUGUCUUGCAACUUCAAUGAAGUUAAUUAUUUAACUGUUCACGACACCCCUAUAUCCCUCGUUUAGCCUUUUGACCCGAUUGGCUAUAGGAACUGAUCAUAGGACUGACCUCUACUGUCUGCAGCUACUGACUCAAUGUUACUACCGCUACUGUCAAAAACUACUGUUUGUGUGCAAGUGAUAAUAAGGUAUGUUGUUUUGAAUGAAAUACAGGACAAUGAUCUCUAGAUACAGGUGAAUUACAGGACUAUGAUCUCUAAUGGUGAAAUACAGGACUAUGAUCUCUAAUGGUGAAAUACAGGACUAUGAUCUAUAAUGGUGAAAUACAGGCAUAUGAUCUCUAGAUACAGCUGAAAUACAGGACUAUGAUCUCUGAUACAGGACUAUGAUCUCUAAUGGUGAAAUACAGGACUAUGAUCUCUAAUGGUGAAAUACAGGACUAUGAUCUCUGAUACAGGACUAUGAUCUCUAAUGGUGAAAUACAGGACUAUGAUCUCUAAUGGUGAAAUACAGGACUAUGAUCUCUGAUACAGGACUAUGAUCUCUAAUGGUGAAAUACAGGACUAUGAUCUCUAAUGGUGAAAUACAGGACUAUGAUCUAUAAUGGUGAAAUACAGGACUAUGAUCUCUAAUGGUGAAAUACAGGACUAUGAUCUCUGAUACAGCUGAAAUACAGGACUAUGAUCUCUGAUACAGGACAAUGAUCUCUAAGGAUGAAAUACAGGACUAUGAUCUCUGAUACAGGACUAUGAUCUCUAAUGGUGAAAUACAGGACUAUGAUGUCUAUGGAUGAAAUACAGGACUAUGAUCUCUAAUGGUGAAAUACAGGACUAUGAUCUCUAAGGAUGAAAUACAGGACUAUGAUCUCUAAUGGUGAAAUACAGGACUAUGAUCUCUAAUGGUGAAAUACAGGACUAUGAUCUCUAAUGGUGAAUUACAGGACUAUAAUCUCUAAUGGUGAAAUACAGGACUAUGAUCUCUAAUGGUGAAAUACAGGACUAUGAUCUCUAAUGGUGAAAUACAGGACUAUGAUCUCUAAUGGUGAAAUACAGGACUAUGAUCUGUGAUGAUGAAAUGUAUAUCUGUGCUGUUUGAUCAUGACUACUUGAAUUACAUUUGGUGGAAAUACAUAACGACGAACGCUGUAAUACUUUCAGAUGUUUAUUGAAUAAAUACUGGCAGAUGUAUGACUCAUCAUGCUGUGUGG